GGGCCAGGAUUUCCUUAAAUAUGACCGGCCACUCCCUUCUUUGACUAAGAGCUUACUCAGAGGACGUGGGUAGUAGCCCAUGCUGGAGGUCUGCAAUGUGGGUAAAGAAGAUAAAUGUUAGAAGCACUGUCUGCAUAAGAUGUGACACACUGGCAGCACAGGGGAAACAGUCUUAAGAGUAUAGAUCAGAUCAGAUGUUCGAUUGGAGAACCAGUGUCUUCAGCCUUCGCUGCACUUGGAGUUCUUUCUAAUGUGGAUGCCUCUCUUCUUCUUUGGGCACUUGUGUCUUCUAGGACUGGUGCCAACUGUUUUCCGCUGCCCUGCAUGACGCAAGGUAAUGACCUGUGAAAAGAGGCUGCCCGUGUGUUACUUUGCCAUCCUGCUGUUUCACUAUGAUUACAUGUAAAUAAAGUACCUGAAAUAAAU
Molecule: long non-coding RNA, 426 nt
Organism: Pseudophryne corroboree (corroboree frog)
Lineage: Eukaryota; Metazoa; Chordata; Amphibia; Anura; Myobatrachidae
Exons: 3
Source: RefSeq, a predicted model, not a curated record